RNAcentral lists this ribosomal RNA (466 nucleotides) under uncultured bacterium. Its description in RNAcentral is "partial 16S ribosomal RNA". It matches the Rfam family "Bacterial small subunit ribosomal RNA", at positions 28 to 507 of the family's 1533-position model. The record is from RNAcentral.
GACGAACGCUGGCGGCGCGCCUAACACAUGCAAGUCGAACGAGCGAGCGAGAGCUUGCUUUCUCGAGCGAGUGGCGAACGGGUGAGUAACGCGUGAGGAACCUGCCUCAAAGAGGGGGACAACAGUUGGAAACGACUGCUAAUACCGCAUAAGCCCACGGUGCCGCAUGGCACAGAGGGAAAAGGAGCAAUCCGCUUUGAGAUGGCCCCGCGUCCGAUUAGCUAGUUGGUGAGGUAAUGGCCCACCAAGGCGACGAUCGGUAGCCGGACUGAGAGGUUGAACGGCCACAUUGGGACUGAGACACGGCCCAGACUCCUACGGGAGGCAGCAGUGGGGAAUAUUGCACAAUGGGGGAAACCCUGAUGCAGCGACGCCGCGUGGAGGAAGAAGGUCUUCGGAUUGUAAACUCCUGUUGUUGGGGAAGAUAAUGACGGUACCCAACAAGGAAGUGACGGCUAACUACGUA